Molecule: ribosomal RNA, 171 nt
Filed under: uncultured Hypocreales
Lineage: Eukaryota; Fungi; Ascomycota; Sordariomycetes; Hypocreales
Description: partial large subunit ribosomal RNA
Rfam family: Eukaryotic large subunit ribosomal RNA
Source: RNAcentral
AUAUCAAUAAGCGGAGGAAAAGAAACCAACAGGGAUUGCCCUAGUAACGGCGAGUGAAGCGGCAACAGCUCAAAUUUGAAAUCUGGCCCUAGGCCCGAGUUGUAAUUUGUAGAGGAUGCUUUUGGUGCGGCGCCUUCUGAGUUCCCUGGAACGGGACGCCACUAGGAGGUA